Molecule: ribosomal RNA, 852 nt
Filed under: Comoclathris rosae
Lineage: Eukaryota; Fungi; Ascomycota; Dothideomycetes; Pleosporales; Pleosporaceae
Description: eukaryotic LSU rRNA
Rfam family: Eukaryotic large subunit ribosomal RNA
Source: RNAcentral
ACAGGGAUUGCCUCAGUAACGGCGAGUGAAGCGGCAUCAGCUCAAAUUUGAAAUCUGGCUCUUUUAGAGUCCGAGUUGUAAUUUGCAGAGGGCGCUUUGGCAUAGGCAGCGAUUCAAGUUCCUUGGAACAGGACGUCACAGAGGGUGAGAAUCCCGUACGUGGUCGCUAGCUCUUGCCGUGUAAAGCCCCUUCGACGAGUCGAGUUGUUUGGGAAUGCAGCUCUAAAUGGGAGGUAAAUUUCUUCUAAAGCUAAAUAUUGGCCAGAGACCGAUAGCGCACAAGUAGAGUGAUCGAAAGAUGAAAAGCACUUUGGAAAGAGAGUCAAACAGCAUGUGAAAUUGUUGAAAGGGAAGCGCUUGCAGCCAGACUUGCCUGUAGUUGCUCAUCCGGGCUCUUGCCCGGUGCACUCUUCUGUAGGCAGGCCAGCAUCAGUUUGGGCGGUUGGAUAAAGGUCUCUGUCAUGUACCUCUCUUCGGGGAGGCCUUAUAGGGGAGGCGACAUACAACCAGCCUAGACUGAGGUCCGCGCAUUCGUGCUAGGAUGCUGGCGUAAUGGCUGUAAGCGGCCCGUCUUGAAACACGGACCAAGGAGUCUAACAUCUAUGCGAGUGUUUGGGUGUCAAGCCCGAGCGCGUAAUGAAAGUGAACGGAGGUGGGAACCCCUCGGGGUGCACCAUCGACCGAUCCUGAUGUCUUCGGAAGGAUUUGAGUAAGAGCAUGGCUGUUGGGACCCGAAAGAUGGUGAACUAUGCUUGAAUAGGGUGAAGCCAGAGGAAACUCUGGUGGAGGCUCGCAGCGGUUCUGACGUGCAAAUCGAUCGUCAAAUUUGGGCAUAGGGGCGAAAGACUAAUC